RNAcentral lists this ribosomal RNA (315 nucleotides) under uncultured Chytridiales. Its description in RNAcentral is "partial large subunit ribosomal RNA". It matches the Rfam family "Eukaryotic large subunit ribosomal RNA", at positions 40 to 350 of the family's 3401-position model. The record is from RNAcentral. Lineage: Eukaryota; Fungi; Chytridiomycota; Chytridiomycetes; Chytridiales.
AUAUCAGUAAGCGGAGGAAGAGAAACCAACAGGGAUUCCCUUAGUAACGGCGAGUGAAGCGGGAACAGCUCAAAUUUAAAAUCUCGCAGGUCUAUGAUCUGUGCGAAUUGUAGUUUUUCAAGAAGCGUUUUCAGGGAGAGCAAUGCCAGAGUCCGUUGGAACACGGCGCCAUAGAGGGUGAGAGCCCCGUAUGGCAUUGCAAUCUUUAUGUGAUACGUUUUUCAAAGAGUCGGAUAGCUUGGGAAUGCUGUCCAAAGUGGGUGGUAAAUACCAUCUAAAGCUAAAUAUUGGCAAGAGACCGAUAGCGCACAAGUA